AGCAGCUCCCUCUCUCACUCAGCCAUAAUCCCUGCUGGUUUUCACAGCCAGAAGUUAUGGGGACUUCUCUUUCUGGCUCUGGAAUCCUGGGCUGGAGGGCAUGGUUUGGAGCUGGGAUUCCUCAUUCUUCAAAGGGGACCUCCACAGCUGAGAUGCCCUUCCCCAUUUUUAACUGCACAGGUAGGUGUGGGACCAGCUUGCUUGUUCCAUGUCUCUGUGCUUUCUACCAGUCUUUGCAUGGCUGCUUUUUUAUAUCCUUAGUUAUAGGACUUCUGGUCAGCUAGACUUCAGGUGGUUCUCAAUGAUGGUUGUUCUGUAGUUUAAUUGUAAUUUUGAUGUGAUCAUGGGAGAAGGCAAGUACAGCAUUUAUCUACACUGCAGUCUUGACCAGAAAGAAGCCUUUCCUAAUUCUUCCAUUGCUGCCCUUCCAAGUUUCAACCUUCUCUUGAUUUCAUGGCUGUAGUCUCCAUUUGGAAGGCAGCUAUGCUCACCACUAUACCACCAACGCUGUAGUCUCCAUUUGAGUUGAUGACUGAACCAAAAAAGUCCUGCAGAGUCCAGUGCAAGGGUCUGCUCUGUGAAGUCUUCUUCAAGUUGAGAGUAAAUGUUUGGGGAAUUAUGAGGAAUAGAACUGGACUACAACUUCAAUAGUAAUGACUACUAUUUAUGGAGAAACUACUGUGUGACAGUCACCAUUAUGAACACUGCGAACACUAAAAGCAGAUGAUUAAGAACAUGAGCUUUGGUGGUAGAGUCCCAGCUCUGCUGUUUACUAGCUGUGUAACCUUGGACAAGUUAUUUCCAAUCUCAGUGUCAGUUAAGUCUGACAGUUAAAUGUGCUUCUCUAAUGGAAAGUAAGCAAUAAAUGGUGGUUACUGCCACCGUAAAUGGAAAGUAAGCAAUAAAUGGUUGUUGCUGCCACCUCCUCACCCCUUGUGAGAUAGUAAAUAUAUCAUCAUGCAUGUUUUUCAAAUGAUGAAACUGAGGCUUAGGGAGUCUGGGUAACUUGUACUGCUUCCCGGAACACAUGACUCUGGGAUUUGUGGCUUACUCGUCUUUUUAUUCUAUAGUGUCUUUAAACUCAGUAAGUAUUUAUUGCAUUUAAAAAUGUAUCUGGAACUCCAGGGUCAGAUUGAAAGAAAAAUUUAGAAAUUGUUACCUGCAUAGAGUGGUAAUUGAAGUUGUUCUCUUAAGUCCUGCCAUCUUUGAGAGUCCACGCAUUUCAACCACCCCUUCAGCAGUGAGCUACAUAGUGCCAUGUGGCAGAUGGCAGUGAUCUUCAACUGUUACUUAAAUCUUUUUAAAAUUUGUUUGUAUUUGUCUUCUUUCCCCAACUGGUUUGUAAGCUCUUUGAGGGCAGAAGACCGUACUGUGUACUACUAUGUAUAUUAACUCCUGCUCCCUUAAAGUCGUUUUGUUUACUAAGAUAAUAGGUCAAACUUCAGUAAAAGUUAAUCUCAAAAAGGAAUUCUUAAACAGUGACCAACCAAGAUUAUUUUGUUAAUCUCUACUUUCUAUUAUCUGAAUUAAGAAAACUUUGCUUACAUUUUCCAAAUAAAAUUUAUUAAACUU
Molecule: long non-coding RNA, 1572 nt
Organism: Myotis lucifugus (little brown bat)
Lineage: Eukaryota; Metazoa; Chordata; Mammalia; Chiroptera; Vespertilionidae
Exons: 2
Source: RefSeq, a predicted model, not a curated record